GACUCUCGGCAACGGAUAUCUCGGCUCUCGCAUCGAUGAAGAACGUAGCGAAAUGCGAUACUUGGUCUGAAUUGUGUUAGAAUUUUUUGUCAUAAAACUCGCAGUUUGUAAUCAUAUUCUGUUUCAAUAAAAUUGUUAUUGAGAAAUUAAAUAUUAUAAUCU
Molecule: ribosomal RNA, 162 nt
Filed under: Cucumis sativus (cucumber)
Lineage: Eukaryota; Viridiplantae; Streptophyta; Magnoliopsida; Cucurbitales; Cucurbitaceae
Description: rRNA 5_8S_rRNA
Rfam family: 5.8S ribosomal RNA
About the family: 5.8S ribosomal RNA (5.8S rRNA) is a component of the large subunit of the eukaryotic ribosome.
Source: RNAcentral